Anolis carolinensis (green anole) is the source of this 1219-nucleotide long non-coding RNA. RefSeq lists it as uncharacterized. The record is from RefSeq and is a predicted model, not a curated record. NCBI's taxonomy places the organism in Eukaryota, Metazoa, Chordata, Lepidosauria, Squamata, Anolidae. The transcript has 3 exons.
AACCAAGCUAACAUCUACAGCCUUGUGUCGUCUCCACCUUCUCAUCUCCUUCAUCAGAAUGACUUGUCUCCUAGCAACACCAGUGCAACAAAGGCAUCAACCAAGAAUAAGUAAUGCUUCAUCUUGCUGUAUUUUUGGUUUUAUUUCAACAUAUUUGUCUCUGCCAUUCAGGUCUGCAAUAGCUCGAAAACAAAGAUUCAGAAGUGUUCUUCCUGCAGAAUAAAUUAUACUUGAUUCUCUCCAUACAAUGCACCAGAUAAAAGAGACCUUGAUGUUAAACACCUAUGGCUAAGUAAGCAGAUGCAGAAAAGGACAGGGUAUCUGCAUCUUAAAUGGCCAUGCUGAAGACCAAUUUUAGCUGGUGUAUCUUUCAUCUUCUCCCUGUAACCACAAGAGUAAAUUGAAAUUGGAAUGGAAUGAACAAAAAAAGUAAAUCACCAUCCACUAUGAAGUAUUCAUAUGUGAGAUUGACUGCAUGCCUACAGGGACUUCUGACUGCAUUCUUUUGUUUUAUGCAUUAGUCCUGCUAAGUACAGUGGGUUACCUUCAAGUUUUGUUCCAUGAAAUAAUACAAUUAACUUAAUAAUGAACCAAAUAUUCAGUCACCAAUAUAUGGUCAGAGAUUAAAGGUAGACUGAUGUUGGGUGCUGAUCUUCAAUCACUUCCCUUCUAUAUUACAUACAAAGAGCACACAUCAGAUUUAUAAAAGCGCUAUUAAACCCAAGGGUAAUUAGUCAGAUUUAUCUUAUGUGCCUUAUGUGUGCACAUGUGCCUUACAAUUCUUUGGAACACAGAAGGCCAACAAGGGACAACUUAAUUUUUCAUUCAAGUUUCAUAUCUUGCCUAUGGCACAGUGGAAAACCAAGCAAUUUGAGCUGAUCUCCUGUUAAAAACAGCAACUCAGUCUUUCUAUAUUUCCAACCCAUUCUUCAGUGUAACCACUAAGGCACGCUGUUCUGUUCUUCUGACAAAGCAUGUCCCUAUGGUUCAUUUCACACACACAUAGAAGUAGGUUCAUAGCACAAAAUGUUUGCUAGUUCGACUGAAAGCGGGGGAAGGGAAACACCAGAAGCUGAAUACUCAACAGAUUUGGAUGACAAAAGGGCACAUGACAGAUAUGGGACUAUUCAACUAAAUAGAGUCCCAUCCUUUCCAGAAUCAGCUAGCAGCAGCCUAAUCAUUUUUAAAGGGCUUUGUUCUAACAAUGAUUCUAGCUUUA